Molecule: ribosomal RNA, 247 nt
Filed under: uncultured Chamaesiphon sp.
Lineage: Bacteria; Bacillati; Cyanobacteriota; Cyanophyceae; Gomontiellales; Chamaesiphonaceae
Description: partial 16S ribosomal RNA
Rfam family: Bacterial small subunit ribosomal RNA
Source: RNAcentral
UCAGGGAAGAACAAAAUGACGGUACCUGAGGAAUAAGCAUCGGCUAACUCUGUGCCAGCAGCCGCGGCAAUACAGAGGAUGCAAGCGUUAUCCGGAAUGAUUGGGCGUAAAGCGUCCGUAGGUGGUUUGUCAAGUCUGUGGUUAAAGCGUGGAGCUUAACUCCAUAACGGCCAUGGAAACUGACAGACUAGAGUUAAGUAGGGGUAGAAGGAAUUCCCAGUGUAGCGGUGAAAUGCGUAGAGAUUGG